Acanthosepion pharaonis is the source of this 105-nucleotide non-coding RNA. The record is from the annotation of a GenBank genome assembly. NCBI's taxonomy places the organism in Eukaryota, Metazoa, Mollusca, Cephalopoda, Sepiida, Sepiidae.
AUCAUGUUGAAACACCAGUUAGCGUAUGAUCACGGAAUUUAAGCAACGUCGGACCUGGUCAGUACCUAGAUGGGUGACUGCUUGGGAAUACCAGGUGCUGUAGGC